RNAcentral lists this ribosomal RNA (753 nucleotides) under uncultured Comamonadaceae bacterium. Its description in RNAcentral is "bacterial SSU rRNA". It matches the Rfam family "Bacterial small subunit ribosomal RNA", at positions 28 to 776 of the family's 1533-position model. Lineage: Bacteria; Pseudomonadati; Pseudomonadota; Betaproteobacteria; Burkholderiales; Comamonadaceae. The record is from RNAcentral.
AUUGAACGCUGGCGGCAUGCCUUACACAUGCAAGUCGAACGGCAGCACGGGAGCAAUCCUGGUGGCGAGUGGCGAACGGGUGAGUAAUACAUCGGAACGUGCCCAAUCGUGGGGGAUAACGCAGCGAAAGCUGUGCUAAUACCGCAUACGAUCUACGGAUGAAAGCAGGGGAUCGCAAGACCUUGCGCGAAUGGAGCGGCCGAUGGCAGAUUAGGUAGUUGGUGAGGUAAAGGCUCACCAAGCCGUCGAUCUGUAGCUGGUCUGAGAGGACGACCAGCCACACUGGGACUGAGGCACGGCCCAGACUCCUACGGGAGGCAGCAGUGGGGAAUUUUGGACAAUGGGCGAAAGCCUGAUCCAGCCAUGCCGCGUGCAGGAUGAAGGCCUUCGGGUUGUAAACUGCUUUUGUACGGAACGAAACGGCCUUUUCUAAUAAAGAGGGCUAAUGACGGUACCGUAAGAAUAAGCACCGGCUAACUACGUGCCAGCAGCCGCGGUAAUACGUAGGGUGCAAGCGUUAAUCGGAAUUACUGGGCGUAAAGCGUGCGCAGGCGGUUAUGUAAGACAGUUGUGAAAUCCCCGGGCUCAACCUGGGAACUGCAUCUGUGACUGCAUAGCUAGAGUACGGUAGAGGGGGAUGGAAUUCCGCGUGUAGCAGUGAAAUGCGUAGAUAUGCGGAGGAACACCGAUGGCGAAGGCAAUCCCCUGGACCUGUACUGACGCUCAUGCACGAAAGCGUGGGGAGCAAACAGG